CGCGACCCCAGGUCGGGCGGGAUUACCCGCUGAGUUAAGCAUAUCAAUAAGCGGAGGAAAAGAAACUACAA
RNAcentral lists this ribosomal RNA (71 nucleotides) under Kirganelia reticulata. Its description in RNAcentral is "Phyllanthus reticulatus partial 26S ribosomal RNA". It matches the Rfam family "Eukaryotic large subunit ribosomal RNA", at positions 1 to 70 of the family's 3401-position model. Lineage: Eukaryota; Viridiplantae; Streptophyta; Magnoliopsida; Malpighiales; Phyllanthaceae. The record is from RNAcentral.